Long non-coding RNA from Oncorhynchus tshawytscha (Chinook salmon), 462 nucleotides. NCBI's taxonomy places the organism in Eukaryota, Metazoa, Chordata, Actinopteri, Salmoniformes, Salmonidae. The record is from Ensembl.
AUUACAACUAGUUUAUAUACACUUAGGUUGGAGUCAUUACAACUAGUUUAUAUACACUUAGGUUGGAGUCAUUAAAACUAGUUUACUUACACUUAGGUUGGAGUCAUUACAACUAGUUUACAUCCACUUAGGUUGGAGUCAUUACAACUAGUUUACCUACACUUAGGUUGGAGUCAUUAAAACUAGUGUACAUCCACUUAGGUUGGAGUCAUUACAACUAGUUUACAUCCACUUAGGUUGGAGUCAUUACAACUAGUUUACAUCCACUUAGGUUGGAGUCAUUACAACUAGUUUACAUCCACUUAGGUUGGAGUCAUUACAACUAGUUUACAUACACUUAGGUUGGAGUCAUUAAAACUUGUUUUUCAACCACUCCACAUAUUUUUUAAAAAGCUAUAGGUUUUGUCAAGUCGGUUAGGACAUCUACUUUGUGCAUGACACAAGUCAUUUUUCCAACAAUUG